This is a long non-coding RNA of Gastrolobium bilobum, 336 nucleotides long. RefSeq lists it as uncharacterized. The record is from RefSeq and is a predicted model, not a curated record. The transcript is spliced from 3 exons. NCBI's taxonomy places the organism in Eukaryota, Viridiplantae, Streptophyta, Magnoliopsida, Fabales, Fabaceae.
GUGGGGAGCUUUGUGUGGUGAGAUAUUGGCUCUCAAAAAUUCGGCCCUUUGGUGAAAAUUGGGGUUUUGAGAGUUUCUACCUCAAUUGAAGCUUGAGGAGCCAUCAAUCCUUGGUUGUGUGACCAUUGGUGGAUUGAGACAUUUGGACCGACCGUGAGUGAUCAACCGCUUGAGCAAGCUAUGGAGCUUGAGUAGCUCAUUGGAAUUGGUGUUGGUUUUGGAGUAGAGUAUUGUUGACAUUGGUGGUGAACUAAGGUUGCUGAAGCUUUGAGGUAAGGAUGCUGCAGGAGCCUCUGGUGGCAAGUGGCCAUAUCUGGAUUAUGCAUGAAAUGUGGC